AAACACGGUUGGGUUGAAGCUAGUUUAAAAAGCUUCUUUUCAGCAAGGUGAGAAAGAGAAGAAAAACGAACCGCGUUUUUACUUCCUUUUUGGUUUUAAUCAACGGCAGUAACAGGCAACGCGGCAAACAACUUACGACAACUCGAACGGAUUUGACUCGCAAGAGACCAGCCCAAUCCCAUGGAAGCAAAAGAUUCUCCCCCUGGCUACUAUGCAGACCCUUCGAUCAACCCGCCGCAGAUGGGUUACAGUAAUUUUAGCGGGAAUCACACAGAAUACGCGACGCACCUUCCACCGCCCGUGCCACCGGGCCACGAGUUUGUUGCCGCCCAAGGCGAGCGACCGGCCAACUGGCGUACAAAUCGGGCGUGUCGAAUUGUGGCAGGAAUAUUUGUGACAAUCGCUAUGAUCAUUUGUGGGGGUACAUUGCGGUUUGGAAUAAGAAGACUAUUUUAUGAUGACUAAAUGGAAAGUUUCUUCAAAGAGCUCAGAAUUAUGCUGCAAAAUUUAUUAUUUCGAUUUAUCCACUAUUAGAUUCAAAAUCUGCUUCCGUAAUUUUCCAUAGCCGGGUUAACAGUGUCGAGUUCAAUCCCUUUCUUAA
Long non-coding RNA from Symsagittifera roscoffensis, 601 nucleotides. RefSeq lists it as uncharacterized. The transcript is spliced from 3 exons. Lineage: Eukaryota; Metazoa; Xenacoelomorpha; Acoela; Convolutidae. The record is from RefSeq and is a predicted model, not a curated record.